RNAcentral lists this ribosomal RNA (433 nucleotides) under uncultured bacterium. Its description in RNAcentral is "partial 16S ribosomal RNA". It matches the Rfam family "Bacterial small subunit ribosomal RNA", at positions 29 to 507 of the family's 1533-position model. The record is from RNAcentral.
AACGAACGCUGGCGGCAUGCCUAACACAUGCAAGUCGAACGAGACCUUCGGGUCUUGUGGCGCACGGGUUCGUAACGCGUGGGAACCUGCCCUUAGGUUCGGAAUAACUCCCCGAAAGGGGUGCUAAUACCGGAUCAUGUCUUCGGACCAAGGAUUUAUCGCCUUUGGAUGGGCUCGCGUUGGAUUAGCUAGUUGGUAGGGUAAAAGCCUACCAAGGCGACGAUCCAUAGCUGGUCUGAGAGGAUGAUCAGCCACACUGGGACUGAGACACGGCCCAGACUCCUGCGGGAGGCAGCAGUGGGGAAUAUUGGACAAUGGGCGAAAGCCUGAUCCAGCGAUGCCGCGUGAGUGAUGAAGGCCUUAGGGUUGUAAAGCUCUUUUACCCGGGAUGAUAAUGACAGUACCGGGCGAAUAAGCCCCGGCUAACUACGUG